This 1915-nucleotide long non-coding RNA is filed under the name Megachile rotundata (alfalfa leafcutting bee). RNAcentral describes it as "uncharacterized LOC105663519". The record is from RNAcentral. Lineage: Eukaryota; Metazoa; Arthropoda; Insecta; Hymenoptera; Megachilidae.
AACGGAGAUUACCAGAGUAUUUAUCACUAAAUGACGUACUCAUUCUCACAGAAUUUUAUUUUUGAGCGAAGAAAAUUUUCAAACGAGAACUAUAUCGUGUCAAGUACAAGCGUAGCACGCCUGGAAUCGAUACAAAUCUUGCGAAUUGCACGACGGUAUUUUGAAAUAAAUUUUACGAAAGAAAGUAAUAAUCUGCUGAAUAUUACUGUGAGUGGAAUAUCAUGAAAUUUAUUUUCGCUAAAAUUAUUCGGUACAAUCCGAGCUUGGCCGUGUAUCCGCAAAUAGACGCAAACGAUUCAACUUCUGACAGAUAGGGCACCAGGUCAAAUUAACUACCUCCAGUGUGCUCGAAAAUAACGGGCUUCGGGUGUGUACGUAUCUUCUCUAUGCGUACAGGUGCACGACUAUACGCGGACGUGUGCAAUUACGUUUGUACCGACACUUUGGUACUUGUCAUAAGAACAGGAAGUUCCGCGUGAUAGCGUAGUACUAGAAAUUGUACCGUGUAAGGUUAAGAUUGAUCCUACGAACGCUGGGGAGUGGGGAGAUUCGUCGAACCCACUAGGUAGAAAAUACUGAGAAUGUUAUUUCUGUUUUAUGGACCAAUACCCAUUUUCAAAAACGAUUUUUCAAAACACAGUCGUUUGUUAUGUAUUAUUUUUGAAAUUUUAAGCACUCCAAAAUAGUAUUGAAGAUGUGAGCUUUAGGGUUAGGAAUAUUUUAAUACCGUUACGCUAAUUUUAGUAGGUUAUGGAAACUAAAAUUAACAAACUUAGGAGUUAAUCAACUAAAUGAAGCAGUAUCGGAGAAUCUAAGUUCGAAACAAUGCUUCCAUUGGUCACGAAAAUAUAUGUCCAUGAUGGAGCAAAUUAAAACUGAACACAUGCAAUAGCAAUUGUAACAUGAAGUUUUCUGACAUGAACAAUUUUUAUUGUACAAGGUUCGAGUGCUAUUUGGAAGUAUGUGAGUGUUAAAAGGAUAGAGAAGUUUGAAAGCGAUUAAAAUGUUAAAUAUAGCAAAAGUAAUUAGAGUAUAGUAUGUACAAUGUGCUGAAAAUACAAUUUUGUUUAAAAAUACAUAUUCAUGGGUAUUUUAAAGUAUUUCAUAUUUAAAUUAAAAUUUCAUUCGUUAUUAAUUAGCAUAUACGUGUGUCACCUUUUGUAUCACUUCAUCUUUAAAUAAUCUCUUUCAGUUUUUUAAACAAGAGACAUGUCUUCGAACUUCGUAUUUAUACCCACUGAAAGUUUAUUGACAUGUUAUGUUUAAAGCAGGUAUACAGUACUAGCAUCUACUAUUUUUACCUAUGCGGAACAAGUCAUCACUUAAAUAACCAAUAGGAAUAGAUAGAAAUUAAAUUCGAAUUUAGCACAUUUUACCCUAAAACAAAGAUCAAUGCCAUAGAAUGGAGGUGCUCAAAGUGUGGGUCUUAAUCCAUUAAUAGGUCAUGAGCUCAUUUCGGAUCGAUCGUGAUAAACAUGAAAGUACAACAAAUUUUUAAAUAAUAAGAAUCGAGGAAUUUUGGAAAAUAAUGCAUCACACACGAAUGGGUCACAAAAUGUUCUUUUCGAAAAUGGGUCUCGGACAAUAAAAGUUUGCCCCGCCACAGAAAAUUUGCAGCAAAUUUCUUAUUAUAAUAAUUUCACUUAUAUCUUAUUGAAAUGAAUGCGCUAAAAGAACCAAGACAAAAUUAGGACAUUGCAAAAAUGAGGUUAACCAUUCAACGAUUGCGGCUUGGCCGAUUCUAUAACCUCUCUAAACAUUAACAAGCGUUUCAUUUAAAACUUCGUGUAACGAGAAAAAGAUAUAUACGUUAUUAAAAUCUUGAUGACGACUCGAUACUGCGGCGGUGCUUGUUGAUGCUGAGUUUGUUGCUGUUGUUGCUGUUGAUGACUCAGGUGGUUAAUAUUGACAGUCA